CUUAUAAUCAUGGCAGAAAGCAAAGGGGGAGCUGGUAUCUCACAUGGCAGAGCAGGAACAAAGUCGGGGGAGGGGUGUCACACUUAAUCAACCAGAUCUCAAGAGAACUCACUAUCUUGAGGACAGCACCAAGCCAUGAGGGAUCUGCCCCAUGACCCAAACAUCUUGCACCUGGCCCCAUCUUCAACAGUGGAGAUUACAUCUCAACAUGAGAUUUGGUGGGACAUUCAAACUAUAUCACAAGGAGAGUGAAAAUCUUGAUUGUUCCACCAUCUUAAUGAUGGGAUUUUGCCUGGGUUUAAGAAUGAGGUCCUGGAGUCAGGCACACCACAUUGAUAUCCCUGUUCCACCACUUACUCGUCCUGUGGCCUUGGCCAAGCACCUUGGCCCCUCUGAGCCUCCCUGCUGUCACCUACAAAGUUAGGACAACAGUAGUGCCUGCCACACUUCUACACAAGAUAAUGUAGGCAAUGUGCUGUCACAUAAUAAAGGCUCAAUAAAUGUAAGCCAUUUUUAUUAAAAGUAGCAAGCCAGCUCUUUAGGGCUUUAAACAGACCAGGUGAGAUGCAAACAGUGGACUUCUGCCAGCAAAACUGUGGGACCCAUCAGACCAGCUGAGCCCAGGGAGGAAAAACACAGCUGGGAGAGCUGGCAGGAAGAUGCCUGCACCUUUCAGGGGUAUGGAAGGGAAAGGCUUAUGGAGGCCACAUUGAAAUGGUGGAGUGGAUGAGAAAACAAGAAGGGGGAAAAGAGGGAGCUCCAGAAAGAGAGUUGGAGUGAGCUGGGGGGAAGCACAGUGUGUGGAGACAGGAAUGGACAUAUGAAGUGUGACAGGAAGAUUAUGGGCUGCUGAGAGCUGGAGUGGACGGUGAGGAGAGAGAUGGACAGCAAUCAAGUACAAGGCUGCUCUUUGGUCAUUAAAGAGCGAAGCCAGCAACCCGUUUGCAGGCUGUCCAUCUGUCUGUCUUGGAAGCAACUGACAAUAAAUAUUUUAGUGAAAAUAUAGUCAUACCUGUUAAACAUAAGGGUGAAAAAAAUCAUAUUUUAAUAAGGCUAUGCUACUUUUUCUGAAAGGGUAUUAAAGGAGGUGUUUACAGGAUUUAUCCUACUCUGAGGGCUAUAUGAACAGCUAUUUGAAGCCCAGUGUUAGAUAGCGGGAAGUCGUCUGAUGCAGCCUUGGAAAAUCACAGCUUUUUCACUCCAAAUAAAAUUCUAAUUGUACCU
Sapajus apella (tufted capuchin) is the source of this 1224-nucleotide long non-coding RNA. RefSeq lists it as uncharacterized. The record is from RefSeq and is a predicted model, not a curated record. Lineage: Eukaryota; Metazoa; Chordata; Mammalia; Primates; Cebidae. The transcript has 2 exons.